UCUUUGGUAGUAUAUCGGAUAGUACAUCCGCCUGUCACGCGGAAGAGCGGGGUUCGACUCCCCGCCAGAGAG
Jaapia argillacea is the source of this 72-nucleotide transfer RNA. It matches the Rfam family "tRNA". From Rfam's summary of the family: Transfer RNA (tRNA) molecules are approximately 80 nucleotides in length. Their secondary structure includes four short double-helical elements and three loops (D, anti-codon, and T loops). Lineage: Eukaryota; Fungi; Basidiomycota; Agaricomycetes; Jaapiales; Jaapiaceae. The record is from Rfam.